GAAUUCACUAGUGAUUGUAGUCAUAUGGUUGUCUCAAAGAUUAAGCCAUGCAUGUCUAAGUAUAAGCAAUUUAUACAGUGAAACUGCGAAUGGCUCAUUAAAUCAGUUAUAGUUUAUUUGAUAGUACCUUACUACUUGGAUAACCGUGGUAAUUCUAGAGCUAAUACAUGCUAAAAACCCUGACUGCUUGGGAGGGGUGUAUUUAUUAGAUAAAAAAUCAAUGCCCUCGGGCUCUUUGAUGAUUCAUAAUAACUUGUCGAAUCGCAUGGCUUUACGCCGGCGAUGGUUCAUUCAAAUUUCUGCCCUAUCAACUGUCGAUGGUAGGAUAGUGGCCUACCAUGGUGGCAACGGGUAACGGGGAAUAAGGGUUCGAUUCCGGAGAGGGAGCCUGAGAAACGGCUACCACAUCCAAGGAAGGCAGCAGGCGCGCAAAUUACCCAAUCCUAAUUCAGGGAGGUAGUGACAAUAAAUAACGAUACAGGGCCCUUCUGGGUCUUGUAAUUGGAAUGAGUACAAUGUAAAUACCUUAACGAGGAACAAUUGGAGGGCAAGUCUGGUGCCAGCAGCCGCGGUAAUUCCAGCUCCAAUAGCGUAUAUUAAAGUUGUUGCAGUUAAAAAGCUCGUAGUUGAACUUUGGGCCUGGCAGGCCGGUCCGCUUUUUGGCGAGUACUGACCCUGCCGGGCCUUUCCUUCUGGCUACCCUCCCCUCUGGAGAGGCGAACCAGGACUUUUACUUUGAAAAAAUUAGAGUGUUCAAAGCAGGCCUUUGCUCGAAUAUAUUAGCAUGGAAUAAUAGAAUAGGACGUUUGGUUCUAUUUUGUUGGUUUCUAGGACCAUCGUAAUGAUUAAUAGGGACGGUCGGGGGCAUCAGUAUUCAGU
RNAcentral lists this ribosomal RNA (879 nucleotides) under Saccharomyces sp. WW-W45. RNAcentral's name for it is "SSU rRNA". It matches the Rfam family "Eukaryotic small subunit ribosomal RNA", at positions 1 to 902 of the family's 1831-position model. The record is from RNAcentral. Lineage: Eukaryota; Fungi; Ascomycota; Saccharomycetes; Saccharomycetales; Saccharomycetaceae.